GGGGAGCUUCGGCGCCCUACACACCCGGGUCUGAAACCUCAGACCCCCCUAACGGAAGACAGAGA
Molecule: non-coding RNA, 65 nt
Filed under: unclassified sequences
Description: L2-Alphaproteobacteria ribosomal protein leader
Rfam family: L2-Alphaproteobacteria ribosomal protein leader
Source: RNAcentral